UGCUUCUUCAUUGCGAGAGAUAAAGUUGUGGCGUGAAUGUCACGUGAAAUUGCUCUGAAUUGAUGAAGUUGAUUUGAAACUAAAUCAUGGGAAGGCAAAUCAGAUGGAAUAACAAGCUUUGGUUGCAAUCGCGGAGGCGGUUGUAGCUGUUGCUGUCGCACGCCAGAAACAGUCGUCGCCGACACUAAAACAAUCGUCGCAGGCGUCGAAGAUAAAUCCACAAAUCCUCCUUCAUCAUGCUUCUGCUUCUCUACCCCAAGAUUUAUCUGUGAAAAUU
RNAcentral lists this long non-coding RNA (277 nucleotides) under Nicotiana benthamiana. RNAcentral's name for it is "long non-coding RNA (NBEN_LNC028967)". The record is from RNAcentral. Lineage: Eukaryota; Viridiplantae; Streptophyta; Magnoliopsida; Solanales; Solanaceae.